CUAUGCGCCUUGCCAGCCCGCUCAGGUGUGCCAGCCGCCGCGGUAAUACAGAGGUCUCAAGCGUUGUUCGGAAUCACUGGGCGUUAAAGCGUGCGUAGGCGGUUUCGUAAGUCGUGUGUGAAAGCGGGGGCUCAACCCCCGGACUGCACAUGAUACUGCGAGACUAGAGUAAUGGAGGGGGAACCGGAAUUCUCGGUGUAGCAGUGAAAUGCGUAGAUAUCGAGAGGAACACUCGUGGCGAAGGCGGGUUCCUGGACAUUAACUGACGCUGAGGCACGAAGGCCAGGGGAGCGAAAGGG
This 299-nucleotide ribosomal RNA is filed under the name uncultured bacterium. RNAcentral describes it as "partial 16S ribosomal RNA". It matches the Rfam family "Bacterial small subunit ribosomal RNA", at positions 475 to 776 of the family's 1533-position model. The record is from RNAcentral.